RNAcentral lists this ribosomal RNA (1438 nucleotides) under metagenome. RNAcentral's name for it is "bacterial SSU rRNA". It matches the Rfam family "Bacterial small subunit ribosomal RNA". The record is from RNAcentral.
AGAGUUUGAUCGUGGCUCAGGGUGAACGCUGGCGGUGUGCUUUAGGCAUGCAAGUCGAACGAGAAGCUCUGGCUUGCCAGAGUGGAUAGUGGCGAACGGGUGAGUAACGCGUACGAACUUACCCUUAAGAGGGGGAUAGUCCACCGAAAGGUGGGGUAAUACCCCAUAGUCCCUACGGGGUAAAGGGCAUAACUGCCCGCUUAAGGAGAGGCGUGCGUCCCAACAGCUUGUUGGUAGGGUAAUGGCCUACCAAGGCGAUGACGGGUAGCCGGGCUGAGAGGCUGUCCGGCCACAAGGGCACUGAGACACGGGCCCUACUCCUACGGGAGGCAGCAGCUAGGAAUCUUGCGCAAUGGACGAAAGUCUGACGCAGCGACACCGCGUGUGGGAUGAAGGCCUUCGGGUCGUAAACCACUUUUGAUCCCUCAUACGAGGGGUAGAAUAAGCAACUACUAACUACGUGCCAGCAGUCGCGGUAAUACGUAGGUUGCAAGCGUUACCCGGUUUACUGGGCGUAAAGGGUCCGCAGGCGGUUUUCUAAGUCUUGUUUCAAAGACUCCGGCCUAACCGGAGACAGGGGCAGGAUACUGGAAGACUAGAGUUAGAUCGGGGCUACUGGAAUUGAUAGCGUAGGGGUGAAAUCCGUGGAUACUAUCAAGAACACCGAGAGCGAAGGCAGGUAGCUAGGUCUUAACUGACGCUCAUGGACGAAAGCUAGGGUAGCAAACUGGAUUAGAGACCCAGGUAGUCCUAGCCGUAAACGAUGCCUGUUAGUUUCUUGGAUCUUUAUGAUCCGGGAGACGUAAGCUAACGCGUUAAACAGGUCGCCUGGGGAGUAUAUCCGCAAGGACGAAACUCAAACGAAUUGGCGGGGAGGCGCACAACCAGUGGAGCAUGUGGUUUAAUCCGAUACAAAGCGAUGGACCUUACCUAGGCUUGACAUGUACCUGCAAAUCCCGGAAAACCGGGACUCUUUCGAAGGUGGUACACAGCUGCUGCAUGGCUGUCGUCAGCUCGUGGCGUGAGCUGUUCCCUUAAGUGGGGUAACGAGCGCAACCCCUGUUCUAUGUUAUUGUGUCAUAGAAGACUGCCCUGCAUAAGUUUGUAGGGAGGAAGGAGGGGAUGACGUCAAGUCAGCAUGGCGCUUAUGCCUAGGGCGACUCACAUCCUACAAUGAAGCCGACAACGGGUUGCCAAACCGCAAGGUGGAGCUAAUCCUUCAAACGGCUUCUCAGUGGGGAUUAGGGGCUGCAACUCGCCCCUAUGAACUUGGAAUUGGUAGUAAUCGCAGAUCAGCAGACUGCGGUGAAUACGUUCUCGCCUCUUGCACACACUGCCCAUCAAGUCAGCAAAGUUGGGGGUGCCCGAAGUCUUUCUCUGAGCAAUCGGAGGAGGCCUAAGGUAAAUUCAGCGAUGAGGGCUAAGUUGUAACAAGGUA